Hordeum vulgare subsp. vulgare (domesticated barley) is the source of this 1345-nucleotide long non-coding RNA. RefSeq lists it as uncharacterized. NCBI's taxonomy places the organism in Eukaryota, Viridiplantae, Streptophyta, Magnoliopsida, Poales, Poaceae. The record is from RefSeq and is a predicted model, not a curated record. The transcript has 2 exons.
CCGGAAUUCCCUGCGUUGGGAAGACCCACGCCACGUCUUUUGCCUCUUCUUCUUCCUCUGGCAACCUCCUUUUGUCUCUGUUACGCAAAGGUUUUCACAUCCACACGUGACGUUACUACACGGCGGAUCGCUUGGCUGACGCAGCAACCGACUCGCGAUCUUGUCAAAACUUCCGUCACGAUGCCAGCAAAAAAAUAGUUUGGUUUCCUUGCGUGUUUUUGACUCCUCCGAAUAUAGAUGGAAACUGACCCGCAUACGGAGGGAGAGAGUUUUGUACAGGCAUCCCGUGUGGCUAUUAUCUUCUUCCUCGCCUCACCCCACCCCACCUCUUUCCUCCCCUUGACCUCUCCUUUCCCCUUCCUCCUCUCCAAAAAGAAAAGGGUCUAAGAUCUUGGCAUCUCGAUUCUCAUGCCAUGGAUAUGGAUAUGGAUGGAGCCGUCUGCAUGGUUUCCGUAUGCCGACAUGAAAGAUAGCACAUCUUUUCUGCUUGGCUUCGACGCCUAUCGAAGCUCUGGCGGCCGAGACGGGCAAACUUCUCUUGUUGAUUGGAUCUUAACUGGAUUUCUUGUUCCAUGGCGUCAACAGGCCGGCCGAUACUGAUUCAACCUAAUUUCUUCUUGUUCGGAUCUCCUCGCGGCCGGCUCUAUGCAUACCUCGUGUCCGAUGCACGCUUUCAUUGUGUAGAACACAGAUCGAUCUGAGCUGCUCAUGCCCGGUGAGUCUAGAUAGACUUGUAAUCGUUCAUUGUUUGUGGCCAAUUUCAAUCAGAACGAAACUUCUUUUGGUUUCUGAUGUUACGAAGGUGUUUACAUGAUCUCUUUCCUUUGGUUUCUAUAUGUUCUGGUUUGAUCUCUACAAGUUUUCCUUUUCUUUUGAAAUUUUAUUGGCUCGCCGUCUUAUUUUCUUCAAUAAAAGUCGAGAUCCCGUACGUUUUUCCCGUGGGAACGGAACGGGGAGUCUGAAUCCGAGGCACCCACGCGUCUCGUACGUUUUUGCUGUUGUCUCGAAGGUGAAGGUGCUUAGAUGAUUUCUUCCAUCUGGUUGGUUUCUACAUGUCUGAUUCGAUCUCUACAAUCUCCUUGUUGCCUUCGAUCGAGUGACAACUCGUUGGUCCUUGAUCUCCCCGUUGUUCCGUGUGAUGGGUUUUCCAGCCUACUAACUGUAUCGAAUCAGACUUGUAUCUCAACUGAAUUUCCUCUGCUAACUGGCAGGAUUUCUCUGCCUACUAAGAAAGCAAUUUGUUACAAAUAUCUGGUUUUGUUUCUCGCGUACCAACAGUCAAUGGACAUCUUACAUGACAUAGGACUAGUCUCGAGAAACAGUCAAUGGACAUCUUACAGACAUA